RNAcentral lists this ribosomal RNA (376 nucleotides) under uncultured eukaryote. Its description in RNAcentral is "partial 18S ribosomal RNA". It matches the Rfam family "Eukaryotic small subunit ribosomal RNA", at positions 592 to 976 of the family's 1831-position model. The record is from RNAcentral.
CAAUAGCGUAUAUUAAAGUUGUUGCGGUUAAAAAGCUCGUAGUUGGAUUUCUGCUGAGAACGACCGGUCCGCCCUCUGGGUGUGUAUCUGGCUCUUUCUUGGCAUCUUCUUGGUGAACGUUGCUGCACUUGACUGUGUGGAGCGCUACCCAGGACUUUUACUUUGAGGAAAUUAGAGUGUUUCAGGCAGGCUAGGCCGGAAUACAUUAGCAUGGAAUAAUGGAAUAGGACUACGGUCUCUUUGUUGGUUUGAGGGACUGCAGUAAUGAUUAAUAGGGAUAGUUGGGGGCAUUAGUAUUUAAUUGUCAGAGGUGGAAUUCUCAGAUUUGUUAAAGACUAACUUAUGCGAAAGCAUUUGCCAAGGAUGUUUUCAUUAA